RNAcentral lists this ribosomal RNA (451 nucleotides) under uncultured bacterium. Its description in RNAcentral is "bacterial SSU rRNA". It matches the Rfam family "Bacterial small subunit ribosomal RNA", at positions 354 to 796 of the family's 1533-position model. The record is from RNAcentral.
GUGGGGAAUCUUGCGCAAUGGGCGAAAGCCUGACGCAGCAACGCCGCGUGUGUGAUGAAGGUCUUCGGAUCGUAAAGCACUGUCGGGAGGGACGAAUAAGGGCCGGGCUAACAUCCCGGUCCGAUGACGGUACCUCCAAAGGAAGCACCGGCUAACUCUGUGCCAGCAGCCGCGGUAAUACAGAGGGUGCAAGCGUUGUUCGGAAUUAUUGGGCGUAAAGCGCGUGUAGGCGGCCAGCCAAGUCGGGUGUGAAAGCCCUCGGCUUAACCGAGGAAGUGCGCCCGAAACUAUCUGGCUUGAGUACCGGAGAGGAUGGUGGAAUUCCCGGUGUAGAGGUGAAAUUCGUAGAUAUCGGGAGGAACACCAGUGGCGAAGGCGACCAUCUGGACGGAUACUGACGCUGAGACGCGAAAGCGUGGGUAGCAAACAGGAUUAGAAACCCCUGUAGUCC